UACGUAGGGGGCAAGCGUUGUCCGGAAUCAUUGGGCGUAAAGAGCGCGUAGGCGGCCCUGUAAGUCCGCUGUGAAAGUCAAGGGCUCAACCCUUGGAUGCCGGUGGAUACUGCAGGGCUAGAGUCCGGAAGAGGCGAGUGGAAUUCCGGGUGUAGCGGUGGAAUGCGUAGAGAUCCGGAAGAACACCGGAGGCGAAGGCGGCUUGCUGGGCAUUGUCUGACGCUGAGGCGCGAAAGCGUGGGGAGCGAACAGG
RNAcentral lists this ribosomal RNA (253 nucleotides) under uncultured bacterium. Its description in RNAcentral is "partial 16S ribosomal RNA". It matches the Rfam family "Bacterial small subunit ribosomal RNA", at positions 524 to 776 of the family's 1533-position model. The record is from RNAcentral.